Molecule: small nucleolar RNA, 136 nt
Organism: Cavia porcellus (domestic guinea pig)
Lineage: Eukaryota; Metazoa; Chordata; Mammalia; Rodentia; Caviidae
Product: small nucleolar RNA U109
Source: Ensembl
UGGCAUGUGGAAAUGCCUUCUCCUCAUUCCUUUUGGAGUAGGAAUAUAUCCAUAACAUGCUAUAUUAAAAAAAGGAGUUUUCAGGGCUGCCAACCUUACAGUAGAGGUUGAGUGGUAGUAUAUUUUUCCUACAUUA